RNAcentral lists this unclassified non-coding RNA (339 nucleotides) under Hevea brasiliensis (rubber tree). The record is from RNAcentral. Lineage: Eukaryota; Viridiplantae; Streptophyta; Magnoliopsida; Malpighiales; Euphorbiaceae.
GUUAGAGCUCUCUUUUAACGAGUUCACAUUUUCAGCAAUAAUAGGUCGAGGAAAGAAUAGGCCCGUGACUCAAACCUGGGCGAGAGAUCACAGCAACUUGGUAUCAAAGCUUAUUUGUGGAUGAAUAUUUGUUAUGAUCACAAGAAUAGGCUCUGAUACCAAGUAGUUAUGAUCCAUCUCCUAGGAUCGAAUCAUGGGCCUAUUAAUAGUAAAAUCUGAUUCAAAAGCUGAACCUUUUGCUUUACCUCGAUUUUGGGCGAGAGAUCACAACAACUUGGUAUCAGAGCUGAUUGUCAUGGACAAUAUAGAUCCGAGAGAAGAAUUGAGGGCGCUAUUCCA